This 429-nucleotide ribosomal RNA is filed under the name uncultured bacterium. Its description in RNAcentral is "bacterial SSU rRNA". It matches the Rfam family "Bacterial small subunit ribosomal RNA", at positions 355 to 776 of the family's 1533-position model. The record is from RNAcentral.
UGGGGAAUUUUGGACAAUGGGGGCAACCCUGAUCCAGCCAUGCCGCGUGCGGGAAGAAGGCCUUCGGGUUGUAAACCGCUUUUGUUCGGGAAGAAAUCGAUCUCGUUAAUACCGGGAUUGGAUGACGGUACCGGAAGAAUAAGCACCGGCUAACUACGUGCCAGCAGCCGCGGUAAUACGUAGGGUGCAAGCGUUAAUCGGAAUUACUGGGCGUAAAGCGUGCGCAGGCGGUUUCGCAAGUCAGAUGUGAAAGCCCCGGGCUCAACCUGGGAACUGCAUUUGAAACUACGAGGCUAGAGUGUGUCAGAGGGAGGUAGAAUUCCACGUGUAGCAGUGAAAUGCGUAGAGAUGUGGAGGAAUACCGAUGGCGAAGGCAGCCUCCUGGGAUAACACUGACGCUCAUGCACGAAAGCGUGGGGAGCAAACAGG